GUCAGUUGAGAACACCUUUAUUUAACCAGGUAGGUCAGUUGAGAACACCUUUAUUUAACCAGGUAGGUCAGUUGAGAACACCUUUAUUUAACCAGGUAGGUCAGUUGAGAACACCUUUAUUUAACCAGGUAGGUCAGUUGAGAACACCUUUAUUUAACCAGGUAGGUCAGUUGAGAACACCUUUAUUUAACCAGGUAGGUCAGUUGAGAACACCUUUAUUUAACCAGGUAGGUCAGUUGAGAACACCU
This is a long non-coding RNA of Oncorhynchus keta (chum salmon), 248 nucleotides long. RefSeq lists it as uncharacterized. The record is from RefSeq and is a predicted model, not a curated record. Lineage: Eukaryota; Metazoa; Chordata; Actinopteri; Salmoniformes; Salmonidae. The transcript has 4 exons.